UUGAACGCUGGCGGCAUGCCUUACACAUGCAAGUCGAACGGUAACAGGUCUUCGGAUGCUGACGAGUGGCGAACGGGUGAGUAAUAUAUCGGAACAUAUCCUGUCGUGGGGGAUAACUAAUCGAAAGGUUAGCUAAUACCGCAUACGACCUGAGGGAGAAAGCGGGGGCUCGCAAGACCUCGCGCGAUUGGAGUGGCCGAUAUCUGAUUAGCUAGAUGGUGAGGUAAAGGCUCACCAUGGCGACGAUCAGUAGCUGGUCUGAGAGGAUGAUCAGCCACACUGGGACUGAGACACGGCCCAGACUCCUACGGGAGGCAGCAGUGGGGAAUUUUGGACAAUGGGCGAAAGCCUGAUCCAGCCAUUCCGCGUGAGUGAAGAAGGCCUUCGGGUUGUAAAGCUCUUUCAGACGGAAAGAAAUCGGGCGCGUGAAUAGCGUGCCUGGAUGACGGUACUGUCAGAAGAAGCACCGGCUAACUACGU
RNAcentral lists this ribosomal RNA (480 nucleotides) under uncultured bacterium. Its description in RNAcentral is "bacterial SSU rRNA". It matches the Rfam family "Bacterial small subunit ribosomal RNA", at positions 30 to 506 of the family's 1533-position model. The record is from RNAcentral.